CCUACGGGUGGCAGCAGUGAGGAAUAUUGGUCAAUGGCCGUGAGGCUGAACCCGCCAAGUCGCAUGAAGGAAGCAUGAUCUAUGGUUUGUACACUUCUUUUAUAUGGGGAUAAAUGUAUCCACGUGUGGAUAUUUUCAUGUACCCUAUGAAUAAGCAUCGGCUAACUCCGUGCCAGCAGCCGCGGUAAUACGGAGGAUGCGCGCGUUAUCCGGAUUUAUUGGGUUUAAAGGGUGCGUAGGUUGUUUUUUAAGUCAGUGGUGAAAGUUUGUGGCUCAACCAUAAAAUUGCCGUUGAAACUGGCAGACUUGAGUGUGUUUGAGGUAGGCGGAAUGCGUGGUGUAGCGGUGAAAUGCAUAGAUAUCACGCAGAACUCCGAUUGCGAAGGCAGCUGACUAGGCCAUAACUGACACUGAAGCACGAAAGCGUGGGGAUCAAACAGGAUUAGAUACCCUUGUAGUC
This 460-nucleotide ribosomal RNA is filed under the name uncultured bacterium. RNAcentral's name for it is "partial 16S ribosomal RNA". It matches the Rfam family "Bacterial small subunit ribosomal RNA", at positions 338 to 795 of the family's 1533-position model. The record is from RNAcentral.